AAUUUGUUGAAGAGCGAGAAAUGUUGGAUUUGGAUGGAGCCAAUUUGAGCCUCAAAACACGUGGUUCGACGAGGCAGACCGGCUCUAGGCAUGAUUGGAGGCCUGGACAAUAACUUGAGGAGGACAUUUUUCACAAUUGAAAUGUGGAAGGUCGGAAACAGAGGGAAUCAACGAGCCUAAACAGGGGAGGAACAGGGGAGGCUUCUUUUUUAUUGAAAUUGCAGGAGUUUGGAGGUUAUGGGAUCAAGGCAGUGAGAUUCAGAUGAAAGAGAUGUUUUCAGACAGAACCUGUAGUUCGGUUUUGGUAGGAUUGCAGUCUAUCUUAGGGACUUGUGCAGCAAGAGAGAAAGAAG
This 353-nucleotide long non-coding RNA is filed under the name Populus tremula. RNAcentral describes it as "long non-coding RNA (PTRE_LNC001864)". Lineage: Eukaryota; Viridiplantae; Streptophyta; Magnoliopsida; Malpighiales; Salicaceae. The record is from RNAcentral.